Molecule: ribosomal RNA, 396 nt
Filed under: uncultured bacterium
Lineage: Bacteria
Description: partial 16S ribosomal RNA
Rfam family: Bacterial small subunit ribosomal RNA
Source: RNAcentral
AAUAUUUCACAAUGGAGGGAACUCUGAUGCAGCGACGCCGCGUGAGCGAUGAAGGNUUNNGGGUCNUNAAGCCCUGUCCUAGGNNNNNAUAAUGACGGUACCCUAGGAGGAAGCCCCGGCUACCUACGUGCCAGCAGCCGCGGUAAUACGUAGGGGGCGAGCGUUGUCCGGAAUUAUUGGGCGUAAAGGGUACGCAGGCGGCCAUGUAAGUCAGAUGUGAAAGACAUAGGCUUAACUUAUGUAAGCAUUUGAAACUGCGUGGCUUGAGUUAAGGAGAGGAAAGUGGAAUUCCUAGUGUAGCGGUGAAAUGCGUAGAUAUUAGGAAGAAUAUCAGUGGCGAAGGCGACUUUCUGGACUUAUACUGACGCUGAGGUACGAAAGCGUGGGGAGCAAACA